This is a non-coding RNA of Potamilus streckersoni, 70 nucleotides long. The record is from the annotation of a GenBank genome assembly. Lineage: Eukaryota; Metazoa; Mollusca; Bivalvia; Unionida; Unionidae.
GCGUGGCCUAAGUGGUAAGAGUGUCUGCAUUGAAUGCAGGAGGUCACGGGUUCGAACCCCACUUGAUUCA